Molecule: long non-coding RNA, 1523 nt
Organism: Hippocampus comes (tiger tail seahorse)
Lineage: Eukaryota; Metazoa; Chordata; Actinopteri; Syngnathiformes; Syngnathidae
Exons: 2
Source: RefSeq, a predicted model, not a curated record
CAAAGUGUCAUUUAAAAUUCAAGUUUGAGUUUCAAACAAAAAAUGGUAUGAUAAGUGCAGUUCCCUUGGGUUGGUUUCUUUUGUAAACUCAUCACAAUAUGCCCCUGACUAAUAUCAAUUCAGCCUAUCUUGCUUCAUCUUGUUUUAUUAAUAGGCAUAUAGCUUGCCGCAGGAGUUCAGAGAAGUCACAUAGGGGAAAAAGUAAAACGAACGUGAAGUAUAUCUGUUCCACUUAUUCAAAGGCAUAAAAAAAAUCAUUAUACAUCUUUGGAUUUGGACAUUGAGUCUGAUUUAUUCAUGUAUUUCAGGCACGUUUUUUUUAUUUUUUUUAUUUUCAGAGAACCAGUUCUUAAGAAAGGGAAAUGAGUUGCAAACUCACCACUUGCAUUAACGACCAUAUGAAAUCUCGUACUCCUAAACGUUCAAUGCGUUCCCUGAAUGUCGUUUCGUCCGUUUUCUGGAGUGCUUGCUGGAGCCUCUCUUAGCUGAUUAUAAACGAGAAGCUAACAUGCACGUUUUUGGAGAUGUGGAGAGGAAACUGGAGAGCAUGCUAUUUUAUAAUUCAUUUUAUACGUGGCUACGGUGCCAAAAUAACUGCGUGAAUUGCUAUUCUACUUUGUGCUGUCAUUAUUAUAAGACAGUUGCUAUCCAUUGUACAGAUUAAUUCACUUUUUUAGGUACUUUUCAUGAGAAUAAAUGUAAAUAUGGCAGCGACAAAAAACUGACAUCAUCAUGACUCUACUAGAAUACGUCCCCCAAAAAUGCAUACUGGCUUGUAUAUUUUUUUUUAGUUGUUUUAAGAGCUGGCCAACUAGGUCAGCUCUGGAAGGAAGUCGACAAAAGUGCAUCGUUCCAACUGAGCGCCUUCCCAAUGGCCAUUUUGUUGACACAAGGGAACUAAGUGAACUCUUGGCCAAGCACCCUACGCACGUCACUUUUUCAGUCAACGAGUGGUCUCCAUUGAGACCAUUGCCAUUUCGAAAGCCACUAUUGAAGAUAUUUGUGGCGCAGGAAUUAGAAAGGGACCACCUCAAAAAAUAUUUCUCUCUUCAAAUACCACCAUGACCAACAUUCAAAUAACGUACUGCAAUUAUUCCUAAAAUGUACUGAUUAUUGUAAGCCGCUGUCACAUUAUGCAUUGAAUGACUUGUGCUUAAGUAUAGGAAAAUUACAACAAAAAACUACUUAAAUGGUGGUUCAAUUAAAAUGCAUCACGUCUAAAAGUUACAUCAAAAUUUACCAAAAUGUUUAAAAAGCAUAGAAAAAAAAUCCAAGUGAAACACGACCGAACUGUACUUAUGUGUAAUUCUUUUGCAGACCACAAGAGGGAACCCAUGUACCAGUAGUGGCCUGCAGACCACAAUUUGAGACUCGCUGGAUUAGUUUACCAUCUCGGCUGAGAUGCACUUAAAGACAACCAGCAGCUGGUUACUGUCCUCAAGUCAACCACCGCAUGACCAUGGAUGAUUCAAUCAGCUUGAUUGUCUGAACUCAUCUUAGGACACGAGUCGAUAGCAGAUAAA